AUUGAACGCUGGCGGCAUGCUUUACACAUGCAAGUCGAACGGCAGCGCGGGCUUCGGCCUGGCGGCGAGUGGCGCACGUGUGAGUAAUGCAUCGGAACGUGCCCAGGAGUGGGGGAUAGCCCGGCGAAAGCCGGAUUAAUACCGCAUACGACCUGGAGGUGAAAGCGGGGGCCCGAAAGGCCUCGCGCUUUUGGCGCGGCCGAUGUCGGAUUAGCUAGUUGGUGGGGUAAAGGCUUACCAAGGCGACGAUCAGUAGCUGGUCUGAGAGGACGACCAGCCACACUGGGACUGAGACACGGCCCAGACUCCUACGGGAGGCAGCAGUGGGGAAUUUUGGACAAUGGGGGCAACCCUGAUCCAGCCAUGCCGCGUGCGGGAAGAAGGCCUUCGGGUUGUAAACCGCUUUUGUUAGGGAAGAAAUCCUUUGGGCUAAUACCCUGGGGGGAUGACGGUACCGGAAGAAUAAGCACCGGCUAACUACGUG
RNAcentral lists this ribosomal RNA (484 nucleotides) under uncultured bacterium. Its description in RNAcentral is "partial 16S ribosomal RNA". It matches the Rfam family "Bacterial small subunit ribosomal RNA", at positions 28 to 507 of the family's 1533-position model. The record is from RNAcentral.